Molecule: ribosomal RNA, 243 nt
Filed under: uncultured bacterium
Lineage: Bacteria
Description: partial 16S ribosomal RNA
Rfam family: Bacterial small subunit ribosomal RNA
Source: RNAcentral
AGGGGGCAAGCGUUAUCCGGAAUUACUGGGUGUAAAGGGAGCGUAGACGGUGAUGCAAGUCUGGAGUGAAAGGCGGGGGCCCAACCCCCGGACUGCUCUGGAAACUGUGCAGCUAGAGUGCAGGAGAGGCAGGCGGAAUUCCUAGUGUAGCGGUGAAAUGCGUAGAUAUUAGGAGGAACACCGGUGGCGAAGGCGGCCUGCUGGACUGUAACUGACGUUGAGGCUCGAAAGCGUGGGGAGCAA